GAUGAACGCUGGCGGCGUGCCUAAUACAUGCAAGUCGAGCGAACAGACGAGGAGCUUGCUCCUCUGACGUUAGCAGCGGACGGGUGAGUAACACGUGGAUAACCUACCUAUAAGACUGGGAUAACUUCGGGAAACCGGAGCUAAUACCGGAUAAUAUAUUGAACCGCAUGGUUCAAUAGUGAAAGACGGUUUUGCUGUCACUUAUAGAUGGAUCCGCGCCGCAUUAGCUAGUUGGUAAGGUAACGGCCUACCAAGGCAACGAUGCGUAGCCGACCUGAGAGUGUGAUAGGCCACACUGGAACUGAGACACAGUCCAAACUCCUACGGGAGGCAGCAGUAGGGAAUCUUCCGCAAUGGGCGAAAGCCUGACGGAGCAACGCCGCGUGAGUGAUGAAGGUCUUCGGAUCGUAAAACUCUGUUAUUAGGGAAGAACAAAUGUGUAAGUAACUAUGCACGUCUUGACGGUACCUAAUCAGAAAGCCACGGCUAACUACGUG
RNAcentral lists this ribosomal RNA (497 nucleotides) under uncultured bacterium. RNAcentral describes it as "partial 16S ribosomal RNA". It matches the Rfam family "Bacterial small subunit ribosomal RNA", at positions 28 to 507 of the family's 1533-position model. The record is from RNAcentral.